ACACAUGCAAGUCGAGCGGAGAGAGGUAGCUUGCUACCGAUCUUAGCGGCGGACGGGUGAGUAAUGCUUAGGAAUCUGCCUAUUAGUGGGGGACAACAUUUCGAAAGGAAUGCUAAUACCGCAUACGUCCUACGGGAGAAAGCAGGGGAUCUUCGGACCUUGCGCUAAUAGAUGAGCCUAAGUCGGAUUAGCUAGUUGGUGGGGUAAAGGCCUACCAAGGCGACGAUCUGUAGCGGGUCUGAGAGGAUGAUCCGCCACACUGGGACUGAGACACGGCCCAGACUCCUACGGGAGGCAGCAGUGGGGAAUAUUGGACAAUGGGCGCAAGCCUGAUCCAGCCAUGCCGCGUGUGUGAAGAAGGCCUUAUGGUUGUAAAGCACUUUAAGCGAGGAGGAGGCUACUUUAGUUAAUACCUAGAGAUAGUGGACGUUACUCGCAGAAUAAGCACCGGCUAACUCUGUGCCAGCAGCCGCGGUAAUACAGAGGGUGCAAGCGUUAAUCGGAUUUACUGGGCGUAAAGCGCGCGUAGGCGGCUAAUUAAGUCAAAUGUGAAAUCCCCGAGCUUAACUUGGGAAUUGCAUUCGAUACUGGUUAGCUAGAGUGUGGGAGAGGAUGGUAGAAUUCCAGGUGUAGCGGUGAAAUGCGUAGAGAUCUGGAGGAAUACCGAUGGCGAAGGCAGCCAUCUGGCCUAACACUGACGCUGAGGUGCGAAAGCAUGGGGAGCAAACAGGAUUAGAUACCCUGGUAGUCCAUGCCGUAAACGAUGUCUACUAGCCGUUGGGGCCUUUGAGGCUUUAGUGGCGCAGCUAACGCGAUAAGUAGACCGCCUGGGGAGUACGGUCGCAAGACUAAAACUCAAAUGAAUUGACGGGGGCCCGCACAAGCGGUGGAGCAUGUGGUUUAAUUCGAUGCAACGCGAAGAACCUUACCUGGCCUUGACAUAGUAAGAACUUUCCAGAGAUGGAUUGGUGCCUUCGGGAACUUACAUACAGGUGCUGCAUGGCUGUCGUCAGCUCGUGUCGUGAGAUGUUGGGUUAAGUCCCGCAACGAGCGCAACCCUUUUCCUUAUUUGCCAGCGAGUAAUGUCGGGAACUUUAAGGAUACUGCCAGUGACAAACUGGAGGAAGGCGGGGACGACGUCAAGUCAUCAUGGCCCUUACGGCCAGGGCUACACACGUGCUACAAUGGUCGGUACAAAGG
This 1200-nucleotide ribosomal RNA is filed under the name Acinetobacter sp. RNAcentral's name for it is "bacterial SSU rRNA". It matches the Rfam family "Bacterial small subunit ribosomal RNA", at positions 51 to 1245 of the family's 1533-position model. The record is from RNAcentral. Lineage: Bacteria; Pseudomonadati; Pseudomonadota; Gammaproteobacteria; Moraxellales; Moraxellaceae.